Odocoileus virginianus texanus is the source of this 316-nucleotide non-coding RNA. The record is from RefSeq and is a predicted model, not a curated record. Lineage: Eukaryota; Metazoa; Chordata; Mammalia; Artiodactyla; Cervidae.
GAGUGUACAAAUUUGUGUGUUUUACUGCAGAUGAAGAGAACAGUUCCUUCUAGGCAGAAACCAGGCUCUAGUCAAAAAUACAGGCCUGUAACGCAGGGUUGAGGUUUCAGUGCAACUGGGAACAGGAGACUGUGAAAAGCCAUACCCCAGCAGCUGACAGGGGGUAAGUCAGCUCCAGCUCUUCAAGCAUCCCUGCCUUUCUGACUCAAGCUUUGGCUCUGCCUGUCUGUGACCUGAUACCUUGCAGAAAUACUGGAAGUUCCCACAGCCUCCACCUCGCAGCAUGACUGAUAAUAAAACUCAUUGAUGACUGAUA